Molecule: ribosomal RNA, 429 nt
Filed under: uncultured bacterium
Lineage: Bacteria
Description: bacterial SSU rRNA
Rfam family: Bacterial small subunit ribosomal RNA
Source: RNAcentral
UCGAGAAUCUUCCACAAUGGACGAAAGUCUGAUGGAGCGACGCCGCGUGACUGAUGAAGUCCUUCGGGACGUAAAGGUCUUUUAUGGGGGAGGAAGUAAUUGACGUUACCCCAUGAAUAAGGGGCUCCUAACUCUGUGCCAGCAGGAGCGGUAAUACAGAGGCCCCGAGCGUUAUCCGGAAUCACUGGGCGUAAAGGGUGUGUAGGCGGCUAUGUUAGUCUUUCGUGAAAGGCUUUGGGCUUAACCCAGAGACCGCGGAGGAAACGGCAUGGCUUAGAGGGCGCGAGAGGUAUACGGAACUCAUAGUGUAGGGGUGAAAUCCGUUGAUAUUAUGGGGAACACCAAAUGCGAAGGCAGUAUACUGGCGCGUACCUGACGCUGAAACACGAAAGCGUGGGAAUCGAACGGGAUUAGAUACCCCCGUAGUCC